GCUGGUGUGGCUCAGUGGUGAGAGCAUUGGCCUUCAAACCAAAGGGUCUCGGGUUUGAUUCCAGUCAAGGGCA
Non-coding RNA from Myotis brandtii (Brandt's bat), 73 nucleotides. NCBI's taxonomy places the organism in Eukaryota, Metazoa, Chordata, Mammalia, Chiroptera, Vespertilionidae. The record is from Rfam.